AUUUUCCAGGUAUGGUUAAGCCAACUAAUCAGGAGAUGACUGCUGUUGGAAAGAGUCUGUCACUCAUUUCCCAGCCAUGCCUCAUGGAGACACAUAGGAAAGCACUAGGGUCAGUCAAGAUACAAAGGGAAAGAGGGGAAGGUGCUGGCAAAGCCUUUGUUGUGGUUUUCCUGGGAAGGAAUGGGUGGGGCAGCAUAAACCAGGUGGACGCUCUCCAGUCUUGAGUAGUUGCAGUGGGUUCUGGCAUGUGAGGACUGCUCCUCGUUUCUUGCACCUGCCUUAGGAUGAUUAGGACAGGAGAUGUUGACUUGGCAGAGAGCCUGCUACAGGAAUUGGUGUGAUUCCAUGGUCUAGGUUGGCUGGACUCACGAGACAGGCAGCCUUCAGGCCUAUUGGCUGUCUAGGGAUUGGUUAGCUUAAAAGCUGCAGUCACUCCAGUGCCAGAACAUCAGGAAUUCAGCAAAGAAGCAAACAGUUAGUGCAGGGCUCAGCUUAGCUACCGCUUUAUGUUACUAAUUUAAAACUUGCACGGAUCUUCCUGGGGGUCCUGUAAGGUAGGAGGCAAAGGUGCCCAUCUGUAUCCAUCAACUCCAGUUUAUCUGGUUGUACAUCAAGAGCUAAUCUCCUGAACCAAGAGCUCCAGAGCACUUAACAAACUUAAAAUCAUGCUGUGCACCUGUUCCCUCACUGGGACUCACUUUCCUCAUCUGUACAAUAGACCGUGGGACUAGAAGACCAUGUCCUUCUAUAAUUCUGUGGAGUGAGUUCCUCUGGUGAAAGUAUGAGAAGGGAAGGGAAGAGGUGCCCCCUCCAGUUAGGAAGAAAGGAAGGGUGUGAUCUGAGGGAGGCCGUUCGGAAGACAGGUGCUG
RNAcentral lists this long non-coding RNA (869 nucleotides) under Marmota monax (woodchuck). The record is from RNAcentral. Lineage: Eukaryota; Metazoa; Chordata; Mammalia; Rodentia; Sciuridae.